This is a ribosomal RNA of Phytophthora infestans T30-4, 318 nucleotides long. The record is from RefSeq and is a predicted model, not a curated record. Lineage: Eukaryota; Oomycota; Peronosporomycetes; Peronosporales; Peronosporaceae.
GUAUACAACCUUGAUCGAUAGGUCUGGGUAAUCUUGUGAAUGCGCAUCGUGCUAGGGAUAGACUGUUGCAAUUUCAGUCUUGAACGAGGAAUUCCCUAGUAAACGCAAGUCAUCAGCUUGCAUUGAUUACGUCCCCUGCCCUUUGUACACACCCGCCCGUCGCACCUACCGAUUGAAUGACCUCGGUGAAAAAUUGGGACCGUGAGUCUGUUUGCUUUAUUGCGAGUGGAUUGAUGGGAACUUUUUUAAACCUCGCCAUUUAGAGGAAGGUGAAGUCGUAACAAGGUUUCCGUAGGUGAACCUGCGGAAGGAUCAUUA